UUGGAGAAACUUACCAGAGAUGAGAAACAACCAAUUGUCUGCAUUCUCUGUUAUGUGGUUGAAGAAAGAAUAGUGUUUUGAGAGUAGCUACUUUGAACUAGCUACUUGCUAUUAUUUUAUGAGAAUAGGGCUUAUGGCCUACACCAUCAUCAUGAGUGCCCCAUCAGAUGUCCCUGAUGGAAAUUGUUGACUCUUGAGACACAACACAGCUGUAGACAGCAUGCCUUUGAACCAGAAAAUAUUUGAGGACCUCUAGCCACUCUGGGGAAUGUGGUCUACUUCACAGUGUACAUGACUCAAGUGAGCAACUCAUCUGGAAACACCAUUAUGGAAGCAGCAAGCAGCAGCACUUAUCUGAGCAUCUUGAUUCCACAAGGUUUCAUCAAGCCGACACAGAAAAUUCACCAUGACAGAAGGCUGCCUGGAGGAAUGCAUCAGGGAGAGCGGCUUAGAGGUUAUCCUACUGCUGUAAUAGGACAUCAUGACCAACACGGAGAGUGUCUUAGAGGUUAUCCUAUUGCUGUAAUAGGACAUCAUGACCAAAAUGGAGAGUGUUUUAGAGGCUAUCCUAUUGCUGUAAUAGGACAUCAUGACCAAAAUGGAGAGUGUCUUAGAGGCUAUCCUAUUGCUGUAACAGGACACCACGACCUAGGCAGCUUACAGAAGAAUUAGUAUUUGAGGUUUAUAGUUUCAGAUGUUUAGAGUACAUGCCCAUCAUAGUGGGGAGCAUGACAGCACACAGGCAGGCAGGCAGGCAGGCAUGGCACUGAGGCAGUAGCCAAGGGAUCACAUCUCCAUCCCUAAUCAGGAGGCAAAGAGAGAUAACUGGGAGUAUUGUGGGACUUAGUGAAACAGCCCCUUCAACAAGACUACACAUUCUAAUCUUUUAGUUCCAUCUGUGGGGCCAAGUAUUCAAACAUGUAAGCUCAUGAAGGUGACUCAUAUUCAAGCCACCACAGAUGCACAGUUCAGCACAUACUCAAGGGCUCCUCUCCAAUACCAGACUGAAGGCUUUGCUUUAUGAGGAUCUAUGCCACACUCUGAAGGAAAGGUGGAUGGCCCAGUGGACAAGCAAGUUACAAUGUCACAUACAUGCAGACGGCACUUCAAGGGGACAUCCUUCUGUUUUUCAAAUUAUUUUAAACUCUGACAUUCAUGCAUGAAUACAGUACAUUUUUAACUUAACACCCCAUUUUCCCCUUUGCACUUUUGAUUAUCUUGCUGUAUCUCUUUUUCUUUCUCCCAAAGUCCCCUUCCCACUUUUGUUUUGUGUGACCCACUGAAUUUAAUUAGUAUUAAUAGCUCAAGUAUGACUACGGUGUCAUAUUUAUUGAAUAUUUAUUGAAGAAUUGCACAAAUCAGUAGUGACACCACUUAAGAAAGCAACAAUGGCUCCCCCAGCAAUUAUUAAUUGCCAGUAGUCCCUCGGGGAGUGAUAGAGACCCAUGGGCUUCUUUCAAAGAGGCCAUGAUUCUUGUCUCUUUUCUAAAAAUUCUAGGACUAUCAGGUAAGAAGAAUCCUUAGAGAUAGCCAAGCUUUUAUAUCCAGAUCUAGCCAUCCUCCCCACAAAUUGUGAUUUGGCUGAGAGCUUCCUGAACUGUGGUUGGUCAUCAGCAUCUUCUUACAUGUUCCAGGCUAGCAUGGUACGUGGAUCACUUUGAGACUCCAACUACAUAUUAAACAUCUCCCACAAUCCAGAGCAUGCCAACCUCUAUUAUGGAUUUUUCAAAUAAAUGUUUUAUUCACUA
This is a long non-coding RNA of Mus musculus (house mouse), 1748 nucleotides long. RefSeq annotates it as predicted gene, 40330. The record is from RefSeq and is a predicted model, not a curated record. The transcript has 2 exons. Lineage: Eukaryota; Metazoa; Chordata; Mammalia; Rodentia; Muridae.